RNAcentral lists this long non-coding RNA (4231 nucleotides) under Homo sapiens (human). RNAcentral's name for it is "HSALNT0390733". The record is from RNAcentral. Lineage: Eukaryota; Metazoa; Chordata; Mammalia; Primates; Hominidae.
UAGCUGGGUGUGGUGGUGGGUGCCUGUAAUCCCAGCUACUCCGGAGGCUGAGGCAGGAGAAUCACUUGAACCCGGGAGGCAGAGGUUGCAGUGAGCCAAGAUCGUGGCAUUGCACUCCAGCCUGGGCGACAGCGUAAGACUCCAUCUCAAAAAAAAAAAAAAAAAGGCGAUAUUCUUAGCUAGAAAAUUCAAAAUACACAUUCAGUAGUACCCCCUUAUCCACGGUUUCAGUUACCUGCGGUCAACUGUAGUCCAAAAAUAUUAAACUGAAAAUUCCAGAAAUAAUUCAUGUUUUCAGUUGCUUGCCAUUCUGAGUGGCGUGAUGAAAUCUCACACCGUCUUGCUUCACCCCUCCCGGCCUGUGAAUCCUCCGGCUGUUCAGUGUAUCUGAACUGUAGAUGCUACUUGCCCAUUAGUCUCUUAGUAGCUGUUAGUUAUCAGACCAAUCCAUGGUAUUGCAGUGCUUGUGUUCAAGUAACCCUUAUUUGACUCAAUUGUUGUGUUUAUUAUUCGUUAUUGUUGUUAAUCGCUUCCUUAGUAAGCGCCUAUUUUGUAAAUUAAACUCGAUCAUAGAUAUGUAGGUAGGAAAAACAUAGUAUAUAAAAGGUUUGGGCGUCGAUCAGCGAGGGAGCAGCAAAUGGCCGGCGGUUGGCGCCUCGCGGGGGGCGGGCGGCGCAGAGUAGGGGGCGGUGGCCAGGGCCGAGGCGUCGCAGCAGCUAGGACGGUUCUUCUGCCACUGCUGCUCCCUGGACACCGUCCCGCGCCUAUCGGAUUAUAUCUGCCCAAGAUGUGCGUCUGAUUUUAUCGAGGAGCUUCCUGAAGAGACCAGGAGCACAGAAAACAGCUCUGCCCCUUCCACUGCCCCCACGGACCAGAGCCGGCCGCCGUUGGAGAACGCGGACCAGCACCUGUUCACGCUGCCGCAGGGCUACGGACAGUUUGCUUUCGGCAUCUUUGACGACAGCUUCGAGAUCCCCACGUUCUCUCCUGGGGCGCAGGCUGACGGCAGCAAGGACCCUGAGAGACCGUGGGAGACAGAGCAUCAGUCCCGGCCCCGUACUGCGCCCGGCAGCCCCGCCUCCGCCUCCCCACGCGGCGGGCCACCGGCCGGCACGAAGGCCUCCCCACGCUAGAAGGGAUCAUCCAGCAGCUCGUCAACGGCAUCAUCACGCCCGCCACCAUCCCCAGCCUGGGUCCUUGGGGAGUCCUGCACUCAAACCCUAUGGAUUACGCCUGAGUGGCCAACGGCCUGGACGCCUUCGCACAGCUCCUCAAUCAGUUUGAAAACACGGGCCCCCCACCGGCAGAUGAAGAGAAAAUCCAGUACCUCCCCACCGUCCCCGUCACCGAGGAGCACGUAGGCUCCGGGCUCGAGUGCCCCGUGUGCAAGGACGACUACGCGCUGGGCGAGCAGCUGCCCCGCAACCACCUGUUCCACGAUGGCUGCAUAGUGCACCGGCUGGAGCAGCACGACAGCUGCCCCGUCUGCCGAAAAAGCCUCCCGGGACACAACACGGCCACGAACACCCCCGCCCCGGGCCCGACUGGGAUGAACUGCUCCUCCUCGUCGUCCUCCCCCUCCUCCAGCUCGCCCAGUAAAGAGAACGCCACAAGUAACUCCUGAGCCCGCGUGGGCCGGCACCCACCACUGCCCGCUGCGCCUGAGGCUGCGGGGAAACCGCGGGGACUUUCCCAACCACCCUCAGCCAGGGCCGCACGGCACCCACAGACUGGGUGCCCCAGAGGCGCCAGUCUUGGCUGGUCAGCGCUACAGGCCCCGCCUGUUCCAGGGCAGGAUCCUGGACCGGCCCACCGGCUCCCUGGCUCGGGAAGGCGUGGGCCACAUGGUCCCCUCUGGGGCGCCUUCAGCCUCCCCGUCUUUUGUCUAACCUCACCCUCUAAACGUUCAGCGGUGGAAAGAUUUUUAGAAUUUUAAAUUAUUACUGCUUUGAAAUAAAUGGAAGUUUUAGCUCACAUGGCGGCCAUGCAUGAUCUGUGGCAAGACGGGGCACCGCUGCUCCACCAGUGCUGCGAGCGCCGUCAGAAUAGGCCGCGUGGGCUCCCAGCCUUCCCCUCGGCUGCCUCCAGGACCUGGAGUUUGGGGGCUCGGGACCAUGAGAAUGACCAGCAAAAUUCAGGAACAAAACUGCUCCAACGGACUUUUUUUUUUUUUUUUUUUUUUUUUUUUUUUGAGGAAGUCUAGCUCUGUCGCCCAGGCUGGAGUACAGUGGCACAAUCUCGGCGGCUCACUGCAACUUCCGCUUCCCGGGUUCAAGCGAUUCUUCUGCCUCAGCCUCCUGAGUAGCUGGGAUUACAGGCGUGUGCCACCACGCCUGGCUAAUUUUUUGUGUUUUUAGUAGAGAUGGGGUUUCACCAUGUUGCCCAGGCUGGUCUCAAACUCCUGACCUCGUGAUCCGCCCGCCUUGGCCUCCCAAAGUGCUGGGAUUACAGGCGUGAGCCACCGCGCCCGGCCACCAACAGACUUUUUUAAAGGAAAAAAUAUGUGUGUCUUGAAAGCUAUUUAAAAUACACUACCUACAAAGAUUAAAAAAAAAAAAGGUUUUGUACUAUCUGUGAUUUUAGGCAUCCACUGGGGGUUUAGGAACAUGUCCCCCAUGGGUAAGGGGGAACUACUGGAUUUACUGUAUUUAUGAAAUCUGUAUUGUGGUCAGCACUGGGAUUGGCUCUGGAUGAACACAAGGAAUAAGCCCUCUGCACUCAAAGAAACUGCAACAAAUGGAGGGAAACCUCCAAAUAAACCAAUAAGUGUGUCCUGACCAACAGGGGUGCAUGCAAAGAAGGAAAUGACGUGGGUACUGUGGUUGCGAAUAAUAGAAGGAAGCUUUAUGUGGUGGAACCUAUUUCAGAGGAUGCUUAAUAAAGGCUUCCAUGUGGAGGUGAUGUUUAGGUUCAGAUCUGAAGGAGAAAAAGGAGCCUGCAGCCACAGCUUGUAGAAGAGAGUUCCAGACACAGGGAAUGCCUAUGGCCAGCGCUGAAUAAGACAAGACAAGACAGAAAUUGACUCCUGGAAGGGGAUGUUUGGGGAGUGCAGGACUCAGUCGCCUCAUCACAUGAGCCUCCCCACAGGGCUGCCUCAUGACAUGGCAGCUGGCUUCCUCUAGGGUGAGCAAUCCAAGAGACCUCAGUGAGAAAGAGGACCCAAAAUAAAAGCCAUGGUCUUUUAUAAUUUUGGAAGUGACAUUCCAUCCCUUCUGCUGCAUUCUAUUUCUUAGGAGUGAGUGAAUAUAUCCAGUGUACAGUCGAGGAAUGUACAAAUACAAGAAUACCAGGAGGUGGGACUCCCUGGCGGCCAUCUGAGAGGCUGCCUCCCAUAUUCAAAUAAAUAACACUGUGGCAAUAAUAAGAUUGGCUCCCAUGUAUUGAGCAGUUGCUAUAAAUCAGGGGUGGUAUUAGGCCCUUACAUACAUGAUCUCACCAUGUCUCCUGUGUUCACUCAGGAUUCAUUAGGCACCAGGCACUGCAAGUUCUAGAGAACAGAAUGGCAAAUGAGGAACACUCCUGCUCUUGAGGUGCUCAUGUCUACAGGAAUAAUUUGUUCUGAUUUUACAAAGGAGGACAAGAAAGGUCACACACUAAGUGGCUGAGCUAGGAGGCCCAAGCUGCUCAAUGUGACUUUGAGGCCAGAAAUGUUUGUGAAGACAGCAUACUCCUGAAUCCACCAUCCCGGAAAACAUCAGCAGGCACCAAAAAGGCCUCUUCACACAUUGUCUAAGAACAAUUGUGAGGAAGAAACAAGUCACAAAGAAUAUAUACAAUAUCAUUCCUUUUUCUUUUUCUUUUUUUUUUUUUUUUUUUUUUUGAGACAGGGUCUUCCUCUGUUGCCCAGGCUGGCAUGCAGUGGCGUGAUUUCGGCUCACUGCAACCUCCACAGUGUUCAAGCAAUUCUCCUGCCUCAACCUCCCGAGUGGCUGAGAUUACAGGUGCCUGCCACCAUGCCCAGCUAAUUUUUUUGUAUUUUCAGUAGCGGCAGGGUUUUACCACAUUGGCCAGGCUGGUCUCGAACUCCUGACCUCAGGUGAUCCACCUGCCUUGGCCUCCCAAAGUGCUAUUACAGACAUGAACCUCCACACCCGGUCUAAUUCCAUUUAUAUGAUAUUCACAAACUGAUGCUUGUUUAUGGGGCACAUUUAGUUGUAACACUAAAGAGGAAAGAAAGAAAACGGUUUCCACAAGUUAGGAUAGUGGCUACUUCUGGGGGAGGGAAGGAGAU